This 115-nucleotide small nuclear RNA is filed under the name Castor canadensis (American beaver). The record is from RNAcentral. Lineage: Eukaryota; Metazoa; Chordata; Mammalia; Rodentia; Castoridae.
CUGCGGCAGCACAUAUUACUAAAAUUGUAAACAAUACAGAGAAGACUAGCAUGGCCCUUGCACAAGGAUGACGCACCUGCAGUGGAAAUUCCCCCGUGAAGCGUUCCCAUUUUAA